GACGAACGCUGGCGGCGUGCCUAAUACAUGCAAGUAGAACGCUGCAGAGAGGAGCUUGCUCUUCUUGGAUGAGUUGCGAACGGGUGAGUAACGCGUAGGUAACCUGCCUUGUAGCGGGGGAUAACUAUUGGAAACGAUAGCUAAUACCGCAUAACAAUGGAUGACACAUGUCCUUUAUUUGAAAGGGGCAAUUGCUCCACUACAAGAUGGACCUGCGUUGUAUUAGCUAGUAGGUGAGGUAAUGGCUCACCUAGGCGACGAUACAUAGCCGACCUGAGAGGGUGAUCGGCCACACUGGGACGGAGACACGGCCCAGACUCCUGCGGGAGGCAGCAGUAGGGAAUCUUCGGCAAUGGGGGCAACCCUGACCGAGCAACGCCGCGUGAGUGAAGAAGGUUGUCGGAUCGUAAAGCUCAGUUGUAAGUCAAGAACGGGUGUGAGAGUGGAAAGUUCACACUGUGACGGUAGCUUACCAGAAAGGGACGGCUAACUACGUG
Molecule: ribosomal RNA, 497 nt
Filed under: uncultured bacterium
Lineage: Bacteria
Description: partial 16S ribosomal RNA
Rfam family: Bacterial small subunit ribosomal RNA
Source: RNAcentral